RNAcentral lists this ribosomal RNA (180 nucleotides) under uncultured bacterium. RNAcentral's name for it is "partial 16S ribosomal RNA". It matches the Rfam family "Bacterial small subunit ribosomal RNA", at positions 1321 to 1500 of the family's 1533-position model. The record is from RNAcentral.
UGAAGCUGGAAUCGCUAGUAAUCGCGGAUCAGAAUGCCGCGGUGAAUACGUUCCCGGGUCUUGUACACACCGCCCGUCACACCAUGAGAGCCGGUAACACCCGAAGUCAGUAGUCUAACCGCAAGGGGAACGCUGCCGAAGGUGGGGCUGGUGAUUGGGGUGAAGUCGUAACAAGGUAUC